GACGAACCGUGCAAACGUUGUUCGGAUUCACUGGGCUUAAAGGGCGCGUAGGCGGGUGGUCAAGUCAGGGGUGAAAUCUUUCAGCUCAACUGGAAAAUAGCUUCUGAUACUGGCCGUCUUGAGGGAGGUAGGGGCAUGUGGAACUUCCGGUGGAGCGGUGAAAUGCGUAGAUAUCGGAAGGAACGCCGGUGGCGAAAGCGACGUGCUGGACCUUUUCUGACGCUGAGGCGCGAAAGCCAGGGGAGCAAACGGG
Molecule: ribosomal RNA, 253 nt
Filed under: uncultured bacterium
Lineage: Bacteria
Description: partial 16S ribosomal RNA
Rfam family: Bacterial small subunit ribosomal RNA
Source: RNAcentral